This 68-nucleotide small RNA is filed under the name Mycobacterium sp. BK086. Its description in RNAcentral is "ASdes TB sRNA". It matches the Rfam family "ASdes TB sRNA". RNAcentral also lists the same sequence under 2 other names. The record is from RNAcentral. Lineage: Bacteria; Bacillati; Actinomycetota; Actinomycetes; Mycobacteriales; Mycobacteriaceae.
AGGAGAACAGGAUCGACGCCGCGCGUCACCACCAGGUAGUCGCGCAGCGCAAUACUGUGGCGACCUUC